RNAcentral lists this long non-coding RNA (713 nucleotides) under Fukomys damarensis (Damara mole-rat). RNAcentral describes it as "lncRNA (ENSFDAG00000032197.1)". The record is from RNAcentral. Lineage: Eukaryota; Metazoa; Chordata; Mammalia; Rodentia; Bathyergidae.
UUUGGAUGCAACAGAAUCCAGCUUGCUUGACUGAGCUCUUAAAGUAUCUCACAAAACGAAGAAUAAAUGGAGAAAAGACCCCCUGCUGGACAUGGAGAACCCUGGAGUUUUUUCUACCUACUACCCUGCCUUUUAACUUUACAAGAUACCAAAUCCAGAGAAGAAGGCAAAGAUUACUCACAGCCAGACAUCCCAGGACCCAAGGAUUAGAACUAAAAGCAUAGAUGAAAAAGGAUAACUGGACCAAUGGAGCUCCAAAAGACAGGUUUCGGAGUUCAGGGAUUGAAAGAAAGAGGUGAGCUCCAGGCUGCAGUGCAGAGCAAAGGUGAAGGGCUUUGGCAGAUUGCUAGGAGCGAGUGUUCAGAGUUAUACGUGACUUAUUUUGCUUUUAGGUCCCAUCCAGGGCCCCAUACAGGAGCAGAGACAAAGAUGGGAGGGUUCAUUUAAAAGAAUGGAAUGGAUACCUUUAAACUCCUGCCAAAGAACAGAUUUUAUUUGAUUUUUUUAACUGAUACACAUUUUUUUUUUUAAGUGAGGAAAUCUAAGUCAGAAGUUAAGAGCUCUAAUGAUUAAUUCAUAUGCAUGGACUUGUGAGAAGAAGUGUGAGGAAGCUUGAGAAACCCCGAGUGACGUAGAGCACCUGGUAGGAGUCACUGCGGACACUCCUUGUUUAAUGACCAUCUGGACUUAUGACCAGCCCCUCAGACUUAAGA